AUUCUGCCCAUGCGGGGAAGGAUGAGAAGCUUCGACCAAGGUUCGACUCGAGCGCCAGCGAGAGAGCGUUGCCGCAGGCAACGACCCGAAGGGCGAAG
Molecule: small RNA, 98 nt
Filed under: Escherichia coli
Lineage: Bacteria; Pseudomonadati; Pseudomonadota; Gammaproteobacteria; Enterobacterales; Enterobacteriaceae
Description: partial RtT sRNA
Rfam family: RtT RNA
About the family: This family represents a bacterial cis-regulatory element known as RtT RNA. The exact function of RtT is unknown although it is thought that it may be involved in changing the cellular response in relation to amino acid starvation.
Source: RNAcentral